AUACCUCAUAAGUCUUUACGGAGAAAGCUUUAUGCGCCAUUGGAUGUGCCUGCACUUGAUUAGUUUGUUGGUGGGGUAAUGGCCUACCAAGACAAUGAUCAAUAGCUGAUUUGAGAGGAUGAUCAGCCACAUUGGGACUGAGACACGGCCCAAACUCCUACGGGAGGCAGCAGUAGGGAAUCUUGCACAAUGGGGGAAACCCUGAUGCAGCGAUGCCGCGUGAGUGAAGAAGGCCCUUGGGUUGUAAAGCUCUUUCGUCGGGGAAGAAAAUG
Molecule: ribosomal RNA, 272 nt
Filed under: uncultured bacterium
Lineage: Bacteria
Description: partial 16S ribosomal RNA
Rfam family: Bacterial small subunit ribosomal RNA
Source: RNAcentral